RNAcentral lists this ribosomal RNA (402 nucleotides) under Bacteroidota bacterium. RNAcentral's name for it is "Bacteroidetes bacterium partial 16S ribosomal RNA". It matches the Rfam family "Bacterial small subunit ribosomal RNA", at positions 355 to 776 of the family's 1533-position model. Lineage: Bacteria; Pseudomonadati; Bacteroidota. The record is from RNAcentral.
UGGGGAAUUUUGCACAAUGGGGGAAACCCUGAUGCAGCGACGCCGCGUGAUUUAGAAGGCCUUCGGGUUGUAAAAAUCUUUUUUACGGGAUGAAAAUGACAGUACCGUAAGAAUAAGGUCCGGCUAAAUACGUGCCAGCAGCCGCGGUAAUACGUAUGGACCGAGCGUUGUCCGGAAUCAUUGGGCGUAAAGGGUACGUAGGCGGCCUAGUAAGUUAGAAGUUAAAGAAUAUAGCUCAACUAUAUAAAGCUUUUAAAACUGCUAGGCUUGAGAGAUGGAAGGGAAAGUGGAAUUCCUAGUGUAGCGGUGAAAUGCGCAGAUAUUAGGAAGAAUACCGGUGGCGAAAGCGACUUUCUGGUCAUCAUCUGACGCUGAGGUACGAAAGCGUGGGUAGCAAACAGG